CACACUGAGAAUUGAAAAUUACACACUGAGAAUUGAAAAUUACACACUGAGAAUUAAAAAUUACACACUGAGAUUUCAUAAAGACGCACUGAGAUUACAAAAAUGAAAAACGCACACUGAGAAUUGAAAAUUACACACUGAGAUUUCAAAAAGACACACUGAGAACAAAUAAACUGAAAACACACACUGAGAAUUUGAAAUUACACACUGAGAAUUUAAAAUUACACACUGAGAUUUGUGCGCACUUUUUAUGCGCACAUAUCUAAUUAGCAUA
RNAcentral lists this long non-coding RNA (274 nucleotides) under Mytilus galloprovincialis (Mediterranean mussel). Lineage: Eukaryota; Metazoa; Mollusca; Bivalvia; Mytilida; Mytilidae. The record is from RNAcentral.